Molecule: ribosomal RNA, 508 nt
Filed under: uncultured bacterium
Lineage: Bacteria
Description: partial 16S ribosomal RNA
Rfam family: Bacterial small subunit ribosomal RNA
Source: RNAcentral
GACGAACGCUGGCGGCGUGCCUAAUACAUGCAAGUCGAACGCUUCUUUCCUCCCGUUUCCUUUCACUCGAUUGCAACGAGCAGUUGCGUACCGCUUAGUAACCCUUCCUUUACCUACCCAUCAGCUUCGGAUAACCCUUGCUAACAGCUGCUAAUACCUCAUACCACUUUAUUCCGCAUUGCAUAAGAGUUUAAGUCUCUUUCGUGUGUCGCUGCUGGCUGGACCCGCGGUGCAUUAGCUAGUUGGUAAGGUAACGGCUCACCAAGGCAACGAUGCAUAGCCGACCUGAGAGGGUGAUCGGCCACACUGGAACUGAGACACGGCCCAGACUCCUACGGGAGGCAGCAGUAGGGAAUCUUCGGCAAUGGACGAAAGUCUGACGGAGCAACGCCGCGUGAGUGAAGAAGGUGUUCGGAUCGUAAAACUCUGUUAUUAGGGAAGAACAAGGGUGUAAGUAACUGAACGCGCCUUGACGGUACCUAAUCAGAAAGCCACGGCUAACUACGUG